AUUGAACGCUGGCGGCAGGCCUAACACAUGCAAGUCGAGCGGCAGCGGAAAGUAGCUUGCUACUUUGCCGGCGAGCGGCGGACGGGUGAGUAAUGUCUGGGAAACUGCCUGAUGGAGGGGGAUAACUACUGGAAACGGUAGCUAAUACCGCAUGACCUCGAAAGAGCAAAGUGGGGGAUCUUCGGACCUCACGCCAUCGGAUGUGCCCAGAUGGGAUUAGCUAGUAGGUGAGGUAAUGGCCCACCUAGGCGACGAUCCCUAGCUGGUCUGAGAGGAUGACCAGCCACACUGGAACUGAGACACGGUCCAGACUCCUACGGGAGGCAGCAGUGGGGAAUAUUGCACAAUGGGCGCAAGCCUGAUGCAGCCAUGCCGCGUGUGUGAAGAAGGCCUUAGGGUUGUAAAGCACUUUCAGCGAGGAGGAAGGCAUCAUACUUAAUACGUGUGGUGAUUGACGUUACUCGCAGAAGAAGCACCGGCUAACUCCGUGCCAGCAGCCGCGGUAAUACGGAGGGUGCAAGCGUUAAUCGGAAUUACUGGGCGUAAAGCGCACGCAGGCGGUUUGUUAAGUCAGAUGUGAAAUCCCCGCGCUUAACGUGGGAACUGCAUUUGAAACUGGCAAGCUAGAGUCUUGUAGAGGGGGGUAGAAUUCCAGGUGUAGCGGUGAAAUGCGUAGAGAUCUGGAGGAAUACCGAUGGCGAAGGCAGCCUUCUGGCAUCAUACUGACACUGAGGCUCGAAAGCGUGGGUAGCAAACAGG
This 759-nucleotide ribosomal RNA is filed under the name uncultured Enterobacteriaceae bacterium. RNAcentral's name for it is "bacterial SSU rRNA". It matches the Rfam family "Bacterial small subunit ribosomal RNA", at positions 28 to 776 of the family's 1533-position model. Lineage: Bacteria; Pseudomonadati; Pseudomonadota; Gammaproteobacteria; Enterobacterales; Enterobacteriaceae. The record is from RNAcentral.